RNAcentral lists this ribosomal RNA (608 nucleotides) under Anopheles gambiae str. PEST. RNAcentral describes it as "SSU rRNA". It matches the Rfam family "Eukaryotic small subunit ribosomal RNA", at positions 21 to 606 of the family's 1831-position model. Lineage: Eukaryota; Metazoa; Arthropoda; Insecta; Diptera; Culicidae. The record is from RNAcentral.
UGAUAUACGCUCGUCUCAAAGGUUAAGCCAUGCAUGUCUAAGUACAAGCUUCCUAGAAAGUGAAACCGCAUAAGGCUCAGUAUAACAGCUAUAAUUUACAAGAUCCUCAUCCAAACAGUUACUUGGAUAACUGUGGAAAAGCCAGAGCUAAUACAUGCAUUAUGCCGGGACUGUUGGCCUCCGGGUCGGCGGAACUGGUGCACUUAUUAGUUAAACCAAUCGCCUCCGGGCGCUUUGAGUUGAAAUCUGGAUAAGGAUGCCGAUCGUACGGUCGCUUGCGACUGACGACAGAUCUUUCAAAUGUCUGCCCUAUCAACUAUUGAUGGUAGUGUAGAGGACUACCAUGGUUGCGACGGGUAACGGGGAAUCAGGGUUCGAUUCCGGAGAGGGAGCCUGAGAAAUGGCUACCACAUCCAAGGAAGGCAGCAGGCGCGUAAAUUACCCAAUCCCGGCACGGGGAGGUAGUGACGAGAAAUAACAAUAUGGACCUCUCUAACGAUGGUCCAUAAUUGGAAAUGAGUUGAGCAUAAAUCCUUUUGCAAGGAUCAAGUGGAGGGCAAGUCUGGUGCCAGCAGCCGCGGUAAUUCCAGCUCCACUAGCGUAUAUUA